CACAUGCAAGUCGAGGGGCAGCAUGGUCUUAGCUUGCUAAGGCCGAUGGCGACCGGCGCACGGGUGAGUAACACGUAUCCAACCUGCCGUCUACUCUUGGACAGCCUUCUGAAAGGAAGAUUAAUACAAGAUGGCAUCAUGAGUCCACAUGUUCACAUGAUUAAAGGUAUUCCGGUAGACGAUGGGGAUGCGUUCCAUUAGAUAGUAGGCGGGGUAACGGCCCACCUAGUCUUCGAUGGAUAGGGGUUCUGAGAGGAAGGUCCCCCACAUUGGAACUGAGACACGGUCCAAACUCCUACGGGAGGCAGCAGUGAGGAAUAUUGGUCAAUGGGCGAGAGCCUGAACCAGCCAAGUAGCGUGAAGGAUGACUGCCCUAUGGGUUGUAAACUUCUUUUAUAAAGGAAUAAAGUCGGGUAUGUAUACCCGUUUGCAUGUACUUUAUGAAUAAGGAUCGGCUAACUCCGUGCCAGCAGCCGCGGUAAUACGGAGGAUCCGAGCGUUAUCCGGAUUUAUUGGGUUUAAAGGGAGCGUAGAUGGAUGUUUAAGUCAGUUGUGAAAGUUUGCGGCUCAACCGUAAAAUUGCAGUUGAUACUGGAUAUCUUGAGUGCAGUUGAGGCAGGCGGAAUUCGUGGUGUAGCGGUGAAAUGCUUAGAUAUCACGAAGAACUCCGAUUGCGAAGGCAG
RNAcentral lists this ribosomal RNA (683 nucleotides) under uncultured Bacteroidales bacterium. RNAcentral's name for it is "bacterial SSU rRNA". It matches the Rfam family "Bacterial small subunit ribosomal RNA", at positions 52 to 724 of the family's 1533-position model. The record is from RNAcentral. Lineage: Bacteria; Pseudomonadati; Bacteroidota; Bacteroidia; Bacteroidales.